UUUUCUGUUCUUCAACGACGCCAAUCUGUCUUUGCUUCGCCGCCAUUCUUUUUCAAUUGUGUCAGCAGUUAUUCAAAGAAAUUCAUGAGCUGAUGCAGCGAAAUUUUUGUAAGUGAAAACUGAAAUUAACUUACUCUUUCAUCUUGGAUCUCAUCCCGAUCACUUAUCAGGUUAGCCAUUCUUGCUAAUUGUUUUCUCUUUUGUGGACUUACCUUCAUCAUCUUGGUUUGGUCUCAUCCCAUCACAGUUCAUAGGUCACAGUCAUCAGUUCAUCUCUUCACAGCAGCGACUCCUGUUCUUCUUAUAAUUGGAAAUGGAUUCAACGGACAGUGAUAAGUUUACUCGAAACUUCAGUUGGGAAGGAAACAGAGGAAAUAUGUGUCUUAAAGACACAAUGCUUGGCAAAGUCAUGCUAGGUGUAAUCCUUAAAUAUGAAAAACCUAAAAUAAAAAGUCAUGAGGCGAUAUUGGCUAUUCAAAAUUGGCUGAAACAUGCAAAGGAUGGUAUGAAAGCAGAGUUGGCGGCGGCAGCAGCAGCAGCAAAAAAAAAAAGGAGGAGAAUAAAAACAAUGAAAAAGAGGAUGAUUCCGAAGAAGACAGAAGGCCACUACCAUCUUCGUCCUCUGAUGAUGAAGAUUAAAAUUUUUUCGUUAUUCGAUUAAUAUGUACCAUGAUUGUUGAAAAUAAAAUUCAUGGAGUAACAAAAA
This is a long non-coding RNA of Daphnia magna, 706 nucleotides long. RefSeq lists it as uncharacterized. Lineage: Eukaryota; Metazoa; Arthropoda; Branchiopoda; Diplostraca; Daphniidae. The transcript is spliced from 5 exons. The record is from RefSeq and is a predicted model, not a curated record.